AUGUACUUCCUGCCUUGGUGCUUCGGGUUCUGCCACAGCUGGCUUCUUCUUCUUCUUGGCCGCCAUUCUGGGGUCGAUUCCUGGUCGCCCCAAGGCCUUGCACUUUUCAGCCUCAUUGUAUCCUUGGACACAUUUAGCAGCAAGAUCCUUCAUGCGCUCACGAGAACCUUUGGCUUCUUCGCGUUUAGUUUGGAAUGCUUCCUUAAGCUCAUGCAUCAUGGUCUGGAAGUUCUGAAUGUUUUCAACAUUGAGCUUGGCCAUGUGCUUCUUGAACCGAGCCUUUUCAUAAUCUAUCUUAUGCUUCAGUUCAACAAUCUUCCGAGCUAG
RNAcentral lists this ribosomal RNA (327 nucleotides) under Triticum aestivum (bread wheat). RNAcentral describes it as "partial small subunit ribosomal RNA". Lineage: Eukaryota; Viridiplantae; Streptophyta; Magnoliopsida; Poales; Poaceae. The record is from RNAcentral.